Molecule: ribosomal RNA, 465 nt
Filed under: Vreelandella stevensii
Lineage: Bacteria; Pseudomonadati; Pseudomonadota; Gammaproteobacteria; Oceanospirillales; Halomonadaceae
Description: partial 16S ribosomal RNA
Rfam family: Bacterial small subunit ribosomal RNA
Source: RNAcentral
CCUACGGGUGGCAGCAGUGGGGAAUAUUGGACAAUGGGCGAAAGCCUGAUCCAGCCAUGCCGCGUGUGUGAAGAAGGCCUUCGGGUUGUAAAGCACUUUCAGUGGGGAAGAAAGCCUUGGGGCUAAUACCCUCGAGGAAGGACAUCACCCACAGAAGAAGCACCGGCUAACUCCGUGCCAGCAGCCGCGGUAAUACGGAGGGUGCGAGCGUUAAUCGGAAUUACUGGGCGUAAAGCGCGCGUAGGCGGUCUGAUAAGCCGGUUGUGAAAGCCCCGGGCUCAACCUGGGAACGGCAUCCGGAACUGUCAGGCUAGAGUGCAGGAGAGGAAGGUAGAAUUCCCGGUGUAGCGGUGAAAUGUGUAGAGAUCGGGAGGAAUACCAGUGGCGAAGGCGGCCUUCUGGACUGACACUGACGCUGAGGUGCGAAAGCGUGGGUAGCAAACAGGAUUAGAUACCCUUGUAGUC